AUUGAACGCUGGCGGCAUGCCUUACACAUGCAAGUCGAACGGUAACGCGGGGCAACCUGGCGACGAGUGGCGAACGGGUGAGUAAAGCAUCGGAACGUGCCCAGUAGUGGGGGAUAGCCCGGCGAAAGCCGGAUUAAUACCGCAUACGACCUACGGGUGAAAGGGGGGGAUCGCAAGACCUCUCGCUAUUGGAGCGGCCGAUGUCAGAUUAGGUAGUUGGUGGGGUAAAGGCCUACCAAGCCGACGAUCUGUAGCUGGUCUGAGAGGACGACCAGCCACACUGGGACUGAGACACGGCCCAGACUCCUACGGGAGGCAGCAGUGGGGAAUUUUGGACAAUGGGCGCAAGCCUGAUCCAGCCAUGCCGCGUGCGGGAAGAAGGCCUCGGUGU
Molecule: ribosomal RNA, 391 nt
Filed under: uncultured bacterium
Lineage: Bacteria
Description: bacterial SSU rRNA
Rfam family: Bacterial small subunit ribosomal RNA
Source: RNAcentral